CGAGGAACCACGCGCAUCCAAACGCGCAGUGAUGUUGUCUGCGCUGGUGUUCGUGCUUGGCUUCUCCACCGUUUUCGUGGCGCUGGGCGCCAGCGCCAGCCUGAUUGGAGGCCUGAUCCGGGCCUGGUCCACGCAACUGUCGAUUGUUGCCGGCAUCGCCAUCAUUCUGAUGGGGCUGCACUUCCUUGGCCUGACACGCAUCGGCUUCC
Molecule: unclassified non-coding RNA, 209 nt
Filed under: Hevea brasiliensis (rubber tree)
Lineage: Eukaryota; Viridiplantae; Streptophyta; Magnoliopsida; Malpighiales; Euphorbiaceae
Source: RNAcentral